This 548-nucleotide ribosomal RNA is filed under the name uncultured Glomeromycotina. RNAcentral's name for it is "SSU rRNA". It matches the Rfam family "Eukaryotic small subunit ribosomal RNA", at positions 548 to 1098 of the family's 1831-position model. Lineage: Eukaryota; Fungi; Glomeromycota. The record is from RNAcentral.
UUGGAGGGCAAGUCUGGUGCCAGCAGCCGCGGUAAUUCCAGCUCCAAUAGCGUAUAUUAAAGUUGUUGCAGUUAAAAAGCUCGUAGUUGAAUUUCGGGACCAAUUUGUUGGUCGUGCCUCGGUACGUACUGGUAUUAUUGGUUUCUCCCUUCUGAAGAACCUCGAUGCCAUUAAUUUGGUGUCGUGGGGAAUCAGGACUGUUACUUUGAAAAAAUUAGAGUGUUUAAAGCAAGCAUACGCUUGAAUACAUUAGCGUGGAAUAAUGAAAUAGGACGUUUGAUUCUAUUUUGUUGGUUUCUAGGAUCGACGUAAUGAUUAAUAGGGAUAGUUGGGGGCAUUAGUAUUCAAUUGUCAGAGGUGAAAUUCAUGGAUUUAUUGAAGACUAGCUACUGCGAAAGCAUUUGCCAAGGAUGUUUUCAUUAAUCAAGAACGAAAGUUAGGGGAUCGAAGACGAUCAGAUACCGUCGUAGUCUUAACCAUAAACUAUGCCGACUAGGGAUCGGAUGAUGUUAACUUUUUAAUGACUCAUUCGGCGCCUUACGGGAAAC